UUAGUCGGCCAUACCACCCUGAACGCGCUUGAUCUCGUCUUAUCUCGGAAGCUAAGCAGGGUCGGGCCUGGUUAGUACUUGGAAGGGAGAAAGCUCACAUUGUGGAAGGGACAAACUAGCUGCCCUGUGGC
Cavia aperea (Brazilian guinea pig) is the source of this 131-nucleotide ribosomal RNA. NCBI's taxonomy places the organism in Eukaryota, Metazoa, Chordata, Mammalia, Rodentia, Caviidae. The record is from Ensembl.